AGUGAACGCUGGCGGAGUGCCUAAUACAUGCAAGUCGAACGUGAAAGCCUUCGGGUGAGUAAAGUGGCGCACGGGUGAGUAAUGGAUGAGAACAUGCCCUGAAGUGGGGAAUAACUACUGGAAACGGUAGCUAAUACCGCAUGGCAUCGAAAGAUUAAAGGUGGGGAUCGUAAGACCUACCGCUUCAGGAUUGGCUCAUCUCCCAUUAGCUAGUUGGCAGGGUAAUGGCCUACCAAGGCAACGAUGGGUAACUGGUCUGAGAGGAUGAUCAGUCACACUGGAACUGAGACACGGUCCAGACUCCUACGGGAGGCAGCAGUAGGGAAUAUUGCACAAUGGGCGCAAGCCUGAUGCAGCAACUCCGCGUGAGUGAAGAAGGCCCUUGGGUUGUAAAGCUCUUUAGCCUGGAAAGAAGUGCUUCGUAGUGAACAAUUACGAGGUGUGACGGUACCAGGAGAAUAAGCACCGGCUAAUUUCGUGCCAGCCGCCGCAGUAAGAC
RNAcentral lists this ribosomal RNA (499 nucleotides) under uncultured bacterium. RNAcentral's name for it is "bacterial SSU rRNA". It matches the Rfam family "Bacterial small subunit ribosomal RNA", at positions 29 to 526 of the family's 1533-position model. The record is from RNAcentral.